RNAcentral lists this ribosomal RNA (253 nucleotides) under uncultured bacterium. RNAcentral describes it as "partial 16S ribosomal RNA". It matches the Rfam family "Bacterial small subunit ribosomal RNA", at positions 524 to 776 of the family's 1533-position model. The record is from RNAcentral.
GACGUAGGGCGCGAGCGUUGUCCGGAUUUAUUGGGCGUAAAGAGCUCGUAGGCGGUUUGUCGCGUCUGCUGUGAAAACCCGAGGCUCAACCUCGGGCCUGCAGUGGGUACGGGCAGACUAGAGUGCGGUAGGGGAGAUUGGAAUUCCAGGUGUAGCGGUGAAAUGCGUAGAUAUCUGGAGGAACACCGGUGGCGAAGGCGGCAUCCUGGACCGGCAUUGACGCUGAGGAGCGAAAGCCAGGGGAGCAAACGGG